AUGAGGUCGUCUAGUGGAGUGUUGUCACACUUCCGGUCGGGCUCGAGUGAAGUGGCGGCCCACGUCAUCUCAGGGACUUCAAGUGUCUGUGAACACAUUGAAUACGUGAGGAAGUGGCCAAGAAAUACAGGGAUAAAACAGGCAAACAAAAGGGGCAUGGUUGACCUAUGCUGGAAGUUUGAACCUACAGUGCCCACUUUACAACGUUGAAAAGCACCACCACAGAAAUCGGUCAUACAUACAGGAUCACAGACACAAUCAAAAGGUUUCAUUCUCCAUGAAGUCUUAUCGAAGAUUACACCGAGAUUUUUACGUCACUGACGAAAAGGAGAUUUCGUCCAUUCAGUGCAAGAUGAGCAUCAUGGGGCCUUGUCCAGCUUAUAACAUCUCGGCACGGGCCGCACAGAAAACACAGCUCUUCUAUUGUUG
Cryptotermes secundus is the source of this 429-nucleotide long non-coding RNA. RefSeq lists it as uncharacterized. The record is from RefSeq and is a predicted model, not a curated record. NCBI's taxonomy places the organism in Eukaryota, Metazoa, Arthropoda, Insecta, Blattodea, Kalotermitidae. The transcript has 3 exons.